GACGAACCGUCCAAACGUUAUUCGGAAUCACUGGGCUUAAAGGGCGCGUAGGCGGCCGAGCGGGUCGCGGGUGAAAUCCUCCAGCUUAACUGGAGAACUGCCCUCGAUACCACUGCGGCUCGAGGAAGGAAGGGGCAAUCGGAACUGUCGGUGGAGCGGUGAAAUGCGUUGAUAUCGACAGGAACGCCGGUGGCGAAAGCGGAUUGCUGGUCCUUUUCUGACGCUGAGGCGCGAAAGCGUGGGGAGCAAACAGG
This 254-nucleotide ribosomal RNA is filed under the name uncultured bacterium. RNAcentral describes it as "partial 16S ribosomal RNA". It matches the Rfam family "Bacterial small subunit ribosomal RNA", at positions 524 to 776 of the family's 1533-position model. The record is from RNAcentral.